RNAcentral lists this ribosomal RNA (497 nucleotides) under uncultured bacterium. Its description in RNAcentral is "partial 16S ribosomal RNA". It matches the Rfam family "Bacterial small subunit ribosomal RNA", at positions 28 to 507 of the family's 1533-position model. The record is from RNAcentral.
GAUGAACGCUGGCGGUGUGCCUAAUACAUGCAAGUCGAGCGAACAGACGAGGAGCUUACUCCUCUGACGUUAGCGGCGGACGGGUGAGUAACACGUGGAUAACCUACCUAUAAGACUGGGAUAACUUCGGGAAACCGGAGCUAAUACCGGAUAACAUGUUGAACCGCAUGGUUCAACAGUGAAAGACGGUCUUGCUGUCACUUAUAGAUGGAUCCGCGUCGCAUUAGCUAGUUGGUAAGGUAACGGCUUACCAAGGCAACGAUGCGUAGCCGACCUGAGAGGGUGAUCGGCGACACUGGAGCUGGGACACGGUCCAGAGUCCUACGGGAGGCAGCAGUAGGGAAUCUUCCGCAAUGGGCGAAAGCCUGACGGAGCAACGCCGCGUGAGUGAAGAAGGUCUUCGGAUCGUAAAACUCUGUUAUUAGGGAAGAACAAAUGUGUAAGUAACUAUACACGUCUUGACGGUACCUAAUCAGAAAGCCACGGCUAACUACGUG